UACACGUUCAUGUAAACUGGCUGCUUGGGU
RNAcentral lists this non-coding RNA (30 nucleotides) under Mus musculus (house mouse). Lineage: Eukaryota; Metazoa; Chordata; Mammalia; Rodentia; Muridae. The record is from RNAcentral.